Molecule: unclassified non-coding RNA, 391 nt
Filed under: soil metagenome
Description: partial contains 5.8S ribosomal RNA, internal transcribed spacer 2, and large subunit ribosomal RNA
Rfam family: 5.8S ribosomal RNA (bases 1-122)
Source: RNAcentral
GAUGAAGAACGUAGCGAAAUGCGAUACUUGGUGUGAAUUGCAGAAUCCCGUGAACCGUCGAGUCUUUGAACGCAAGUUGCGCCCGAAGCCAUUAGGCCGAGGGCACGCCUGCCUGGGCGUCACACGUCGUUGCCCCCCCAUCUACUCCUUCGGGAUUGCGGGGGGCGGAUGAUGGCCUCCCGUGCGCCUCGCCGCGCGGUUGGCAUAAAUGCCAAGUCCUCGGCGACGCACGCCACGACAAUCGGUGGUUGCGAAACCUCGGUUGCCCGUCGUGUGCGGUCGUCGCGCAUCGAGGGCUCGAAAAAAUUGCCGGGUUCCGGCUCGGCUUUCAACGCGACCCCAGGUCAGGCGGGGUUACCCGCUGAAUUUAAGCAUAUCAAUAAGCGGAGGA